UAGGGAAUAUUGGACAAUGGGUGAGAGCCUGAUCCAGCCAUGCCGCGUGCAGGAAGAAGGCGUUAUGCGUUGUAAACUGCUUUUUGCCAGGGGAUAAAAUGACCGUGCGCGGUUAAUUGAAGGUACCUGGUGAAUAAGCCACGGCUAACUACGUGCCAGCAGCCGCGGUAAUACGUAGGUGGCAAGCGUUGUCCGGAUUUAUUGGGUUUAAAGGGUGCGUAGGUGGCCCUGUAAGUCAGUGGUGAAAUAUCUCAGCUUAACUGAGAGGGUGCCAUUGAUACUGCAGGGCUUGAGUACAGAUGAGGUAGGCGGAAUUGACGGUGUAGCGGUGAAAUGCAUAGAUAUCGUCAAGAACAUCGAUAGCGAAGGCAGCUUACCAAGCUGUAACUGACGCUGAGGCGCGAAAGCCAGGGGAGCAAACGGGAUUAGAUACCCCCGUAGUCCCUGAGCGGGCUGGCAAGGCGCAU
RNAcentral lists this ribosomal RNA (467 nucleotides) under uncultured bacterium. Its description in RNAcentral is "bacterial SSU rRNA". It matches the Rfam family "Bacterial small subunit ribosomal RNA", at positions 355 to 825 of the family's 1533-position model. The record is from RNAcentral.